CCGGCGCACGGGUGAGUAACGCGUAUGCGACCUGCCCGUUGCAGGGGGGAUAAUCGGGAGAAAUCCCGUCUAGUACCGCGUAACGCCGCGGGGCUGCAUGGCCCUGCGGCCAAAGGGAGCGAUUCCGGCAACGGAUGGGCAUGCGUGACAUUAGCUAGUUGGCGGGGCAACGGCCCACCAAGGCGACGAUGUCUAGGGGUUCUGAGAGGAAGGUCCCCCACACUGGUACUGAGACACGGACCAGACUCCUACGGAAGGCAGCAG
This 264-nucleotide ribosomal RNA is filed under the name uncultured bacterium. RNAcentral describes it as "partial 16S ribosomal RNA". It matches the Rfam family "Bacterial small subunit ribosomal RNA", at positions 95 to 354 of the family's 1533-position model. The record is from RNAcentral.